AUGUUGAGUGACGUGCGGCCCCCCACGCUGACCAUCUUCCCCCCCUCCAAAGAGCAGCUGCAGACUGGCAGUGCCACGGCGGUGUGCGUGGCCAGCGGAGGCUCGCCUCAGGCCUGGACCCUGGGCUGGAAGGUGGGGGGCAGCAGCAGCACCUCGGGGGUGUCACACAGCUCGGACGAGGCCACCGGCGACGGUCGCUACAGCUGGACCAGCACCCUGAGCCUCAAGGCCGACCGCUGGAGCACGGCCGGCUCGGUGAGCUGCGAGGCCACCAUGCAGGGUCAGAACCCCGUGACCCAAACCCUGAUGGACCCGGGCCGCUGCUCAGAGUAGAAGCUGAGACGCCCGUUCUUGUUUUUAUUGCUUCCUGUUUCUUACUGCUUGAUGCCGGAGAACUUGGCGCAGAACCUCAACAUUUAAGCAUUGUUCAAUAAAAUGUCCACGGUCA
This is a non-coding RNA of Nerophis lumbriciformis (worm pipefish), 448 nucleotides long. The record is from the annotation of a RefSeq genome assembly. Lineage: Eukaryota; Metazoa; Chordata; Actinopteri; Syngnathiformes; Syngnathidae.